This 301-nucleotide ribosomal RNA is filed under the name uncultured bacterium. RNAcentral describes it as "partial 16S ribosomal RNA". It matches the Rfam family "Bacterial small subunit ribosomal RNA", at positions 509 to 809 of the family's 1533-position model. The record is from RNAcentral.
CAGCCGCCACGGUAAUACGAAGGGUGCAAGCGUUACUCGGAAUUACUGGGCGUAAAGCGUGCGUAGGUGGUGGUUUAAGUCCGUUGUGAAAGCCCUGGGCUCAACCUGGGAAUUGCAGUGGAUACUGGGUCACUAGAGUGUGGUAGAGGAUAGUGGAAUUUCCGGUGUAGCAGUGAAAUGCGUAGAGAUCGGAAGGAACAUCUGUGGCGAAGGCGACUAUCUGGGCCAACACUGACACUGAGGCACGAAAGCGUGGGGAGCAAACAGGAUUAGAGACCCCUGUAGUCCCUGUCUCUUAUAA